CCUACGGGUUGCAGCAGUGGGGAAUAUUGCACAAUGGGCGCAAGCCUGACGCAGCCAUGCCGCGUGUAUGAAGAAGGCCUUCGGGUUGUAAAGUACUUUCAGCGAGGAGGAAGGCAUUAAGGUUAAUAACCUUGGUGAUUGACGUUACUCGCAGAAGAAGCACCGGCUAACUCCGUGCCGGCAGCCGCGGUAAUACGGAGGGUGCAAGCGUUAAUCGGAAUUACUGGGCGUAAAGCGCACGCAGGCGGUCUGUCAAGUCGGAUGUGAAAUCCCCGGGCUCAACCUGGGAACUGCAUUCGAAACUGGCAGGCUAGAGUCUUGUAGAGGGGGGUAGAAUUCCAGGUGUAGCGGUGAAAUGCGUAGAGAUGUGGAGGAACACCAGUGGCGAAGGCGGCUCUCUGGUCUGUAACUGACGCUGAGGCGCGAAAGCGUGGGGAGCAAACAGGAUUAGAUACCCGGGUAGUC
RNAcentral lists this ribosomal RNA (465 nucleotides) under uncultured bacterium. RNAcentral's name for it is "bacterial SSU rRNA". It matches the Rfam family "Bacterial small subunit ribosomal RNA", at positions 338 to 795 of the family's 1533-position model. The record is from RNAcentral.